AGAGUUUGAUCCUGGCUCAGAACGAACGCUGGCGGCGCGUUUUAAGCAUGCAAGUCGAGCGGCAAGGGCCUUUGGGCCCCUAGAGCGGCGGACGGGUGAGUAACACGUGGACAAUCUGCCCCCCGGCCGGGGAUAGCCCAGGGAAACCUGGAUUAAUACCGGAUGAGACGGGACCCGCGGAGGCGGGAUCCGGGAAAGGCGCUGCGGCGCCGCCGGGGGAUGAGUCUGCGUCCCAUUAGCUAGACGGCGGGGUGAAGGCCCACCGUGGCGACGAUGGGUAGCCGGCCUGAGAGGGUGGACGGCCACAUUGGAACUGAGACACGGUCCAGACUCCUACGGGAGGCAGCAGCUAAGAAUCUUCCGCAAUGGGCGAAAGCCUGACGGAGCGACGCCGCGUGAACGAAGAAGGCCGUGAGGUUGUAAAGUUCUUUUCGGGAGGGGGAACAACCGUGGCAGGGAAUGGCCGCGGGAUGACGUGAAUCCCGGAAUAAGCCCCGGCUAACUACGUGCCAGCAGCCGCGGUAACACGUAGGGGGCGAGCGUUGUUCGGAAUCAUUGGGCGUAAAGGGCGUGCAGGCGGUCCUGCAAGUCCGGCGUGAAAGACCCCGGCCCAACCGGGGGGGCGCGCUGGAAACUGCAGGGCUUGA
RNAcentral lists this ribosomal RNA (647 nucleotides) under uncultured Sphaerochaeta sp. Its description in RNAcentral is "bacterial SSU rRNA". It matches the Rfam family "Bacterial small subunit ribosomal RNA", at positions 8 to 645 of the family's 1533-position model. Lineage: Bacteria; Pseudomonadati; Spirochaetota; Spirochaetia; Spirochaetales; Sphaerochaetaceae. The record is from RNAcentral.